RNAcentral lists this ribosomal RNA (440 nucleotides) under uncultured soil bacterium. RNAcentral's name for it is "bacterial SSU rRNA". It matches the Rfam family "Bacterial small subunit ribosomal RNA", at positions 26 to 518 of the family's 1533-position model. The record is from RNAcentral.
AGAACGAACGCUGGCGGCAUGCCUAAUACAUGCAAGUCGAACGAACACUUCGGAGUUAGUGGCGCACGGGUGCGUAACGCGUGGGAAUCUGCCCCUUGGUUCGGAAUAACAGUUGGAAACGACUGCUAAUACCGGAUGAUGACGAAAGUCCAAAGAUUUAUCGCCAAGGGAUGAGCCCGCGUAGGAUUAGCUAGUUGGUGAGGUAAAGGCUCACCAAGGCAACGAUCCUUAGCUGGUCUGAGAGGAUGAUCAGCCACACUGGGACUGAGACACGGCCCAGACUCCUACGGGAGCAGCAGUAGGGAAUAUGGACAAUGGGCGAAAGCCUGAUCCAGCAAUGCCGCGUGAGUGAUGAAGGCCUUAGGUGUAAAGCUCUUUACCGAGAUGAUAAUGACAGUAUCGGAGAAUAAGCCCCGGAUAACUCCGUGCCAGCAGCCGAC